GAUGAACGCUGGCGGCGUGCUUAACACAUGCAAGUCGAACGAUGAAGCCCAGCUUGCUGGGUGGAUUAGUGGCGAACGGAUGAGUAACACGUGAGUAACCUGCCCUUAACUCUGGGAUAAGCCUGGGAAACUGGGUCUAAUACCGGAUAGGAGCGUCCACCGCAUGGUGGGUGUUGGAAAGAUUUAUCGGUUUUGGAUGGACUCGCGGCCUAUCAGCUUGUUGGUGAGGUAAUGGCUCACCAAGGCGACGACGGGUAGCCGGCCUGAGAGGGUGACCGGCCACACUGGGACUGAGACACGGCCCAGACUCCUACGGGAGGCAGCAGUGGGGAAUAUUGCACAAUGGGCGCAAGCCUGAUGCAGCGACGCCGCGUGAGGGAUGACGGCCUUCGGGUUGUAAACCUCUUUCAGUAGGGAAGAAGCGAAAGUGACGGUACCUGCAGAAGAAGCACCGGCUAACUACGUG
Molecule: ribosomal RNA, 466 nt
Filed under: uncultured bacterium
Lineage: Bacteria
Description: partial 16S ribosomal RNA
Rfam family: Bacterial small subunit ribosomal RNA
Source: RNAcentral